GGCCUGAUGGUCUAGUGGUAUGAUUCUUGCUUUGGGAACAGUUGACUGUUCGAGUAUGCAAGAGGUCCCGAGUUCGAUCCUUGGUCAGGCCC
Molecule: transfer RNA, 92 nt
Filed under: Metarhizium rileyi
Lineage: Eukaryota; Fungi; Ascomycota; Sordariomycetes; Hypocreales; Clavicipitaceae
Description: tRNA-Pro
Rfam family: tRNA
About the family: Transfer RNA (tRNA) molecules are approximately 80 nucleotides in length. Their secondary structure includes four short double-helical elements and three loops (D, anti-codon, and T loops).
Source: RNAcentral